This 495-nucleotide ribosomal RNA is filed under the name uncultured bacterium. RNAcentral describes it as "partial 16S ribosomal RNA". It matches the Rfam family "Bacterial small subunit ribosomal RNA", at positions 28 to 507 of the family's 1533-position model. The record is from RNAcentral.
GACGAACGCUGGCGGCGUGCCUAAUACAUGCAAGUAGAACGCUGAAGGAGGAGCUUGCUUCUCCGGAUGAGUUGCGAACGGGUGAGUAACGCGUAGGUAACCUGCCUGGUAGCGGGGGAUAACUAUUGGAAACGAUAGCUAAUACCGCAUAACAGUAGAUAUUGCAUGAUAUCUGCUUGAAAGGUGCAAUUGCAUCACUACCAGAUGGACCUGCGUUGUAUUAGCUAGUUGGUGGGGUAACGGCUCACCAAGGCGACGAUACAUAGCCGACCUGAGAGGGUGAUCGGCCACACUGGGACUGAGACACGGCCCAGACUCCUACGGGAGGCAGCAGUAGGGAAUCGUCGGCAAUGGACGGAAGUCUGACCGAGCAACGCCGCGUGAGUGAAGAAGGUUUUCGGAUCGUAAAGCUCUGUUGUAAGAGAAGAACGAGUGUGAGAGUGGAAAGUUCACACUGUGACGGUAUCUUACCAGAAAGGGACGGCUAACUACGUG